Molecule: unclassified non-coding RNA, 147 nt
Filed under: soil metagenome
Description: partial internal transcribed spacer 1
Source: RNAcentral
CCGAGUUUACAACUCCCAAACCCCUGUGAACAUACCAAUUGUUGCCUCAGCGGAUCAGCCCGCUCCCGGUAAAACGGGACGGCCCGCCAGAGGACCCCUAAACUCUGUUUCUAUAUGUAACUUCUGAGUAAAACCAUAAAUAAAUCA